AUUGAACGCUGGCGGCAGGUCUAACACAUGCAAGUCGAACGGUAGCACAGAGAGCUUGCUCUCGGGUGACGAGUGGCGGACGGGUGAGUAAUGUCUGGGAAACUGCCCGAUGGAGGGGGAUAACUACUGGAAACGGUAGCUAAUACCGCAUAACGUCGCAAGACCAAAGUGGGGGACCUUCGGGCCUCACACCAUCGGAUGUGCCCAGAUGGGAUUAGCUAGUAGGUGGGGUAAUGGCUCACCUAGGCGACGAUCCCUAGCUGGUCUGAGAGGAUGACCAGCCACACUGGAACUGAGACACGGUCCAGACUCCUACGGGAGGCAGCAGUGGGGAAUAUUGCACAAUGGGCGCAAGCCUGAUGCAGCCAUGCCGCGUGUAUGAAGAAGGCCUUCGGGUUGUAAAGUACCUUCAGCGGGGAGGAAGGCGGUGAAGUUAAUAGCUUCACCGAUUGACGUUACCCGCAGAAGAAGCACCGGCUAACUCCGUGCCAGCCGCCGCAGUAA
This 504-nucleotide ribosomal RNA is filed under the name uncultured bacterium. Its description in RNAcentral is "partial 16S ribosomal RNA". It matches the Rfam family "Bacterial small subunit ribosomal RNA", at positions 30 to 523 of the family's 1533-position model. The record is from RNAcentral.